GAUUGAAAUGUCGAGUAUAACGGAUGCUACAAUUAUUCAUCAUGUGGGUAUUGUGUUGCUUGCACUAUGGUUGCUUAAUUCCUUCGAUUGUUGCCACGCUUUUGCUUACUUCCUAUCGCUUAUCUAUCUCUAUAUGGUUCAUGAGCAGUAUGUGACAAAAUUAAGGAGGAAGCUACAGUUUGAGGAAAAAAGGCAGUCUUGUCAGCGGCGAGUACUUUCAGACUCUGAAUCAGUGAGAUGGUUAAACUAUGCGAUUGAAAAGAUUUGGCCUCUCUGCAUGGAGGAGAUUGUUUCACAGAAAAUUCUUCUCUCUAUCAUUCCAUGGUUUCUUCAGAAGUACAAACCCUGGACUGCUAAAGAAGCUGUAGUUCAGCACCUCUAUUUGGGAAGAAG
This 393-nucleotide unclassified non-coding RNA is filed under the name Hevea brasiliensis (rubber tree). The record is from RNAcentral. Lineage: Eukaryota; Viridiplantae; Streptophyta; Magnoliopsida; Malpighiales; Euphorbiaceae.